Molecule: ribosomal RNA, 492 nt
Filed under: uncultured bacterium
Lineage: Bacteria
Description: partial 16S ribosomal RNA
Rfam family: Bacterial small subunit ribosomal RNA
Source: RNAcentral
AGUGAACGCUGGCGGUAGGCCUAACACAUGCAAGUCGAACGGCAGCACAGUAAGAGCUUGCUCUUACGGGUGGCGAGUGGCGGACGGGUGAGGAAUACAUCGGAAUCUACUUUUUCGUGGGGGAUAACGUAGGGAAACUUACGCUAAUACCGCAUACGACCUACGGAUGAAAGCAGGGGAUCUUCGGACCUUGCGCGAUUGAAUGAGCCGAUGUCGGAUUAGCUAGUUGGCGGGGUAAAGGCCCACCAAGGCGACGAUCCGUAGCUGGUCUGAGAGGAUGAUCAGCCACACUGGAACUGAGACACGGUCCAGACUCCUACGGGAGGCAGCAGUGGGGAAUAUUGGACAAUGGGGGAAAGCCUGAUCCAGCCAUACCGCGUGGGUGAAGAAGGCCUUCGGGUUGUAAAGCCCUUUUGUUGGGAAAGAAAAGCAGCAGGUUAAUACCCCGCUGUUCUGACGGUACCCAAAGAAUAAGCACCGGCUAACUUCGUG